Molecule: long non-coding RNA, 319 nt
Filed under: Elaeis guineensis (African oil palm)
Lineage: Eukaryota; Viridiplantae; Streptophyta; Magnoliopsida; Arecales; Arecaceae
Description: long non-coding RNA (EGUI_LNC028638)
Source: RNAcentral
UGAUUGACAGCACACAAGAUCCAUUUGGGCCAUUUAGAAAAUGGAUGACCAAUCAAACAUUGCGUGUCAACGUGUACUAUCAUACAUACGUAUUACUGUGACGGUCACCUCCAUCGCUCAUGGCUUCUCCUGCAAGGUAAAUUGGAAGAAUGUGUGUCUGCAAAAAUAAGAGGAGAGCCUAGGUAUAAAAGACGUUCAUCAUUUUAACAAUGCAUUUUAAUGAUCUUACUCUUGUUUGCUUGUCUUCUUAGUCUCCUCUCUACUUCGGAUCCUUGGGUAACUGUCAACUUUCAUUGCCACUUGAUAUGAAAUGAUGAUG